This 1217-nucleotide small RNA is filed under the name Pongo abelii (Sumatran orangutan). RNAcentral's name for it is "retained intron". Lineage: Eukaryota; Metazoa; Chordata; Mammalia; Primates; Hominidae. The record is from RNAcentral.
GCUUGCUCUGGUGCUAGGGUCAGCUAGACAGGUUGGCAGGAGACCAGCUGCUCUAGAAGAGCCUGGACAGGAUGAAUUGGUUCUCCUUCCACGUGCAUCUUGCAUCCCUCCAGCUAAGUAUUUGAACCCAGGUCUCAUCUGACUCCAAACGCACCAAGAAGAUGGAGCCUAGAGUGACACAGAGGAAGAGGCCCCUGGAUGGAUGCAUGGGGAAGGUAGAGGCAGGUUUCACCGUGUUAGCCAGGAUGGACUCGAUCUCCUGACCUCGUGAUCCACCUACCUCGGCCUCCCAAAGUGCUGGGAUUACAGGCGUGAGCCACUGCGCCCAGCCACCUAUGUCCUCUUUUCUACAGGUUAGAAGCAAGGCACAAGUCAUACCUACAUUCAAGGAGAGGAGACCAUGCAAAGGAUAAACUUCAGGUGAAGAAUUGAGAGCUAUUUUGGAAGCUGCCUUCCACACUUUACAAUCUACUUUGCAGCUAUACUGAGCUCUUAGCAACUCUCUGGGCCUGCUGAGCACCUCUUGCCUUUCUGCCUUUGCGUGCGCUGUUCCCUCUGCCUGGAAUUCCAUCUCUUCUGCCUUUGCCCACCUUAUCCUAAGGCCUCUGCUUAGAUGCAAUUUCUUUGGGCUCUUAUUAGCAGCAUCCAAAUCUGUGCUGGUUUCUUCUAAUGCUUACUCUGCAUCAUAAUUUUUCUGUUUACUUGUUAAUCCCUUCCCACUCCUGCCAGUACCUAAAGUAAAAUCUACACAGGGCUUGGCACACUGUGGAUGCUCAAUGAAGGUUUGUUAAAUGAGUGAAUGAUUAAAUGAAAUAAGCCCCAGCUUGGAACCCAGGGCUGUAAUUUCCAGUUCUGGUCCCUGUCCCCUGCCCAGGGGCUGUCUAAGGGCUCAUCUCUCCCAGGAGCCCCUGUAUCAUCUCAGUAACUAGACCAGUACCAUAUCCGACUUCCCCUGACUUUGAAAUAAUUUUCACCUGCCAUCAGGUGUGCUUCCUUAGAACCUCUCUCGCUGUCCUUUGCCUUCCUCCUCCCCCCGCCUUGUAUCUCCGUGGUCCUGCCAAAAAUCAGAAGCUCAUUAUUAAACCAGAAGCUGCCUUACAUUAUCCCAGAGACUACAGACAGAAAAUAUUUGCUUCUCUCUCAACUGAGGACUGACAUAGUAAAGGCUCCUUGAGAUGUUAGCUGUCAAGGAGGGGAAUAAAAGUUUUUCAUCUGCA